AGUGAACGCUGGCGGUAGGCCUAACACAUGCAAGUCGAACGGCAGCACAGUAAGAGCUUGCUCUUACGGGUGGCGAGUGGCGGACGGGUGAGGAAUACAUCGGAAUCUACUUUUUCGUGGGGGAUAACGUAGGGAAACUUACGCUAAUACCGCAUACGACCUACGGGUGAAAGCAGGGGAUCUUCGGACCUUGCGCGAUUGAAUGAGCCGAUGUCGGAUUAGCUAGUUGGCGGGGUAAAGGCCCACCAAGGCGACGAUCCGUAGCUGGUCUGAGAGGAUGAUCAGCCACACUGGAACUGAGACACGGUCCAGACUCCUACGGGAGGCAGCAGUGGGGAAUAUUGGACAAUGGGCGCAAGCCUGAUCCAGCCAUACCGCGUGGGUGAAGAAGGCCUCGGGGUUGUAAAGCCCUUUUGUUGGGAAAGAAAAGCAGCAGGUUAAUACCCCGCUGUUCUGACGGUACCCAAAGAAUAAGCACCGGCUAACUUCGUG
This 492-nucleotide ribosomal RNA is filed under the name uncultured bacterium. Its description in RNAcentral is "partial 16S ribosomal RNA". It matches the Rfam family "Bacterial small subunit ribosomal RNA", at positions 29 to 507 of the family's 1533-position model. The record is from RNAcentral.